GUUGUGAAGCACUUUUUGAAUGGGAAUAUCUGCUCCCUCUUAUAUCUCACCCACCAGAAAAUCUCGUGGGACUUCAAAAUGUUGGUACUUUUUAUCACAUGAAUUCUGUGAUCCAGCAGCCAUAUAUAUAUGUGUGUGUGUGUGUGUUUGUGUGUGUAUAUAUAUUCCAAUGGAGACAGUAUUCUUGCAAUUGAAUGCAUAGGUAAAAAUACAGACAAUGAUUUUAUGAAGAUGAGAAGCAGAACAGUGAGUUUAAUGUUGAUCCCCAAGAUAAUUUACUAGAAUAUUUUUAUUAAUUUGAAGACAAAUCAGAGUUAAGUAAGACAGGAGGUAGAAAAGAGUACAAUAUUAGUGUCCUAAGGCACCUUCAAGACAUCUUUGUUCAUUUAGCUAUUUUCAAACUACAGUCCUAUAUACCCAAAGAAUUUUGGUAACAAGUUAAA
RNAcentral lists this long non-coding RNA (443 nucleotides) under Homo sapiens (human). RNAcentral describes it as "non-protein coding lnc-DAZ2-7:1". Lineage: Eukaryota; Metazoa; Chordata; Mammalia; Primates; Hominidae. The record is from RNAcentral.